UACGUUCCCGGGUCUUGUACACACCGCCCGUCACACCACGAAAGUCGGUAAUACCCGAAGCCGGUGGCCUAACCCUUUGGGAGGGAGCCGUCGAAGGUAGGAUCGAUGAUUGGGGUG
This 117-nucleotide ribosomal RNA is filed under the name uncultured bacterium. RNAcentral's name for it is "partial 16S ribosomal RNA". It matches the Rfam family "Bacterial small subunit ribosomal RNA", at positions 1367 to 1482 of the family's 1533-position model. The record is from RNAcentral.